RNAcentral lists this ribosomal RNA (1537 nucleotides) under Escherichia coli. RNAcentral's name for it is "partial 23S ribosomal RNA". It matches the Rfam family "Bacterial large subunit ribosomal RNA", at positions 1277 to 2799 of the family's 2925-position model. Lineage: Bacteria; Pseudomonadati; Pseudomonadota; Gammaproteobacteria; Enterobacterales; Enterobacteriaceae. The record is from RNAcentral.
AGGUAUCAGAAGUGCGAAUGCUGACAUAAGUAACGAUAAAGCGGGUGAAAAGCCCGCUCGCCGGAAGACCAAGGGUUCCUGUCCAACGUUAAUCGGGGCAGGGUGAGUCGACCCCUAAGGCGAGGCCGAAAGGCGUAGUCGAUGGGAAACAGGUUAAUAUUCCUGUACUUGGUGUUACUGCGAAGGGGGGACGGAGAAGGCUAUGUUGGCCGGGCGACGGUUGUCCCGGUUUAAGCGUGUAGGCUGGUUUUCCAGGCAAAUCCGGAAAAUCAAGGCUGAGGCGUGAUGACGAGGCACUACGGUGCUGAAGCAACAAAUGCCCUGCUUCCAGGAAAAGCCUCUAAGCAUCAGGUAACAUCAAAUCGUACCCCAAACCGACACAGGUGGUCAGGUAGAGAAUACCAAGGCGCUUGAGAGAACUCGGGUGAAGGAACUAGGCAAAAUGGUGCCGUAACUUCGGGAGAAGGCACGCUGAUAUGUAGGUGAAGUCCCUCGCGGAUGGAGCUGAAAUCAGUCGAAGAUACCAGCUGGCUGCAACUGUUUAUUAAAAACACAGCACUGUGCAAACACGAAAGUGGACGUAUACGGUGUGACGCCUGCCCGGUGCCGGAAGGUUAAUUGAUGGGGUCAGCGCAAGCGAAGCUCUUGAUCGAAGCCCCGGUAAACGGCGGCCGUAACUAUAACGGUCCUAAGGUAGCGAAAUUCCUUGUCGGGUAAGUUCCGACCUGCACGAAUGGCGUAAUGAUGGCCAGGCUGUCUCCACCCGAGACUCAGUGAAAUUGAACUCGCUGUGAAGAUGCAGUGUACCCGCGGCAAGACGGAAAGACCCCGUGAACCUUUACUAUAGCUUGACACUGAACAUUGAGCCUUGAUGUGUAGGAUAGGUGGGAGGCUUAGAAGUGUGGACGCCAGUCUGCAUGGAGCCGACCUUGAAAUACCACCCUUUAAUGUUUGAUGUUCUAACGUUGACCCGUAAUCCGGGUUGCGGACAGUGUCUGGUGGGUAGUUUGACUGGGGCGGUCUCCUCCUAAAGAGUAACGGAGGAGCACGAAGGUUGGCUAAUCCUGGUCGGACAUCAGGAGGUUAGUGCAAUGGCAUAAGCCAGCUUGACUGCGAGCGUGACGGCGCGAGCAGGUGCGAAAGCAGGUCAUAGUGAUCCGGUGGUUCUGAAUGGAAGGGCCAUCGCUCAACGGAUAAAAGGUACUCCGGGGAUAACAGGCUGAUACCGCCCAAGAGUUCAUAUCGACGGCGGUGUUUGGCACCUCGAUGUCGGCUCAUCACAUCCUGGGGCUGAAGUAGGUCCCAAGGGUAUGGCUGUUCGCCAUUUAAAGUGGUACGCGAGCUGGGUUUAGAACGUCGUGAGACAGUUCGGUCCCUAUCUGCCGUGGGCGCUGGAGAACUGAGGGGGGCUGCUCCUAGUACGAGAGGACCGGAGUGGACGCAUCACUGGUGUUCGGGUUGUCAUGCCAAUGGCACUGCCCGGUAGCUAAAUGCGGAAGAGAUAAGUGCUGAAAGCAUCUAAGCACGAAACUUGCCC